CGCGUCGUAAGCACACCUCUAAAAGAUUAUAGUGUGCAAUUAUGAUAUUCUCAUUUACGUCAGGUCAAAGUGCAGCCUAUAAAGAGGUGAUGAUGGGUUACACUCCACACACAGAUACGAAAUAUAUAAUUAAAAAAUAUAUAAAGGUGGACUUGGACGUAAUUAAAUUUAUAUAAUUAUAUGAAAAUGAAUCUAAGACAUGUACACAUCGCCCGUCACUCUCUCCCCAAGGAGAGAUAAGUCGUAACAAAGUAGGUGUAACGGAAGUUGCACCUGU
This 277-nucleotide ribosomal RNA is filed under the name Dendrobaena octaedra. Its description in RNAcentral is "partial 12S ribosomal RNA". Lineage: Eukaryota; Metazoa; Annelida; Clitellata; Crassiclitellata; Lumbricidae. The record is from RNAcentral.